AUGGCCUCCGCCGCCUCCCUCGCCGUCUCCCACCACCUCCUCCCCGCCGCGCCCGCCCGCUCGCAGCCCCGUCCGCCCGCCCGCCUCGUCCGCCUCCCCCGCACCCGCCUCCGGGUCGCCGCCAUCUCCUCGUCCCCCUCGCCCCCCUCGCGGCGCGACCGCGCCGCGGCCGGCCUCGAGCGGUGCCUGGCCGCGACUCCGGCGCCGGCCUUCGCCCCGCCGGAGAUGAAGGGCGGGAGGCAGCGCGGGUCGUUCGGGGCCGCCACGCUCCAGAAGGCCAAGCUCGACCUCUCCCAAAAGAGGCUCAAAGGCGUCCAGCCCGAGCUGGCAACUGGUGGUGGUGGUGGAGACAAUGGGAAACGAAUUGGCUAUGGUGGUGGUAAUAGUGGAGAUGAUGAUGGUGAUGAUGAUGAUUACUUUGAAGACUCUGACGAUGGAGAUGAAGAAAGUGGAUUUUUCAGAAGGCGUAUAAUUAUACAAGAGCUUUUUAAGAGGGAGUUUGUUGAUGCCGUUCUUCAAGAGUGGUACAAAACAAUGAGUAAUUUGCCAGCUGGUUUGCGUCAAGCUCAUGAGAUGGGUUUGGUCAGCUCUUCUCAGAUGGUCAAAUAUUUGUCAAUGUUUGGAAGGCCCACAAAGGCUAGAUAUUUCUCUCGAGCCUUUCCGGACUUCUUCUCAAGAGACCUUGUUGGAAGAAUGCUUGCAGAUCCAUCUUUCCUGCAUAAGAUGACCUUUGAGUUGCUAGCUACCGUUAGUACAUCUGUUUGUUGGGAGAUGAAAAAUCGCAAGGAGAGGUUCCAAGAAGAAUGGGAUUUGGUGUUUCUCAAUGUAGUUACUGCCACAGUUUGCAAUUUAGCUGUUUUCAGUUCACUUGCGCCAUGCCGCUCAUAUAUGAUCCAGAAACUUCCCAAUAACAUAUUUGAGAAGAGCUAUCCUUUCAUGAGACAGUUUGGUCUUCUAAGAAGAACCCAGUCCCUCUUCAGCAAGGCUGCUGAGCUUUGCCUAGGUGGGCUAAUUGUUGGCUCCAUUCAAGGUGGUCUAUCGAAUAUCCUUUCUGCUGGAAGAGAAAGACGGUUGUCGAUGACUGUUCCUUCUAUCAGCAACAAUGCUCUUAGUUAUGGAGCUUAUUAUGGGCUUUAUGCAAAUCUGCGGUAUCAAAUUUUAUGUGGUCUUGAUAGAUCAAUGGCAAACCAUUUUGAUGUCCUUGGUGUUACAAUCUUUUUCGGCACAGCGAUGAGGUUGCUGAAUAUUCAAAUUGGGGAGCUAUCGAGACGUGCCUGGCUUGGUGAGGGAGCAGAUCUGCUUAACUCGGAUAAUUUGUUGAGAACAUACAAUGGCCCAGCAGCAGAGCUUGGCAUCAAUCAACAGGCAGAGUGGUUCAUGUCCAAGAAUGCAAUUGUAUCUGGCUUAGAACUUCUAGGCAUCAAGUAUGGUGCACCUAAAGAUGCCUCUCCAAAGCUUCGGCGAAAAAGAAUUGUCCGAAAGAAGUAG
Molecule: ribosomal RNA, 1488 nt
Filed under: Triticum aestivum (bread wheat)
Lineage: Eukaryota; Viridiplantae; Streptophyta; Magnoliopsida; Poales; Poaceae
Description: partial small subunit ribosomal RNA
Source: RNAcentral